Molecule: long non-coding RNA, 377 nt
Organism: Cotesia glomerata
Lineage: Eukaryota; Metazoa; Arthropoda; Insecta; Hymenoptera; Braconidae
Exons: 3
Source: RefSeq, a predicted model, not a curated record
AUAGUUGUUUUUUUCAUAGUUAAAAAUUUCCCUGAUAGCCACCUUACAUAUAACUUACUGUCAAUCUACGUCCGCAAUUUGAAGCAAACUUGACGGAAAGAGUUGGCAAAGCGAGCGAUUACCUAUUAGUUACCUAUAACUUAUUCUGCAAAUAGACGUCAAAACUUACUGUACAAGUAUUUCCGUUAAAUUGUAGUAAAGUUGAAAGGAAAUUUAACUACAAGUUUGAUUGUUAACUUGUAUUCAAGUUGCGGCCGUAGAUUUCCGUCAAUUUGCUUACAACUGUUGUUGAGUGAAGAAUUACCGCCAACUUGAUGUAUAAAUUAACCGUAACUGCUGGAAGUCAACACUUACUGAGAAAGCGCUGGCUAUCAGGG